Meleagris gallopavo (turkey) is the source of this 734-nucleotide non-coding RNA. The record is from RefSeq and is a predicted model, not a curated record. NCBI's taxonomy places the organism in Eukaryota, Metazoa, Chordata, Aves, Galliformes, Phasianidae.
UAUUAGCAGUAGCCAGUGCCCUCCUGCUUCCUCCAGUCCCUUUAACCAGUGAAAGAUUGGGAAGGUAGCUGGAAGUAACCGGAGACUGGAAAAAGCACUGAAGGUCUCUCGCUUACCAUGGGGAGAUCGUGGGAAAGAUACGGAGAAGGAGAAGUAGGGAAUACUGCAGUGGAAGGAAAACAUCACAAAAGAAACAGGACAAAUGAAAUUUGUGCCGCGGGAGACUACAUAGUUGUUUCAUUAGCUGGAUAGUAUUGCUGCAUCAAAUAUUUGACAAAAAGAUGUGACAAAACUUUUUGGUUUUAAAUCCAAUGUGUUCUCAUCUUCUGCACCAAACCAAUUAUUCUUUUUUUUUUCUAGCUUGCUGUUUGUAUGACAAACUCUGAAUUACUGUAUGCAUGGCAGUGAUGGCCACAGGGAGAUGGUGGGGCAGAUCUCCAUAAACAGCAGGAGAAGCAUCCUCACAAUCCUUAAUUGCCUAGAGAGCACUGAGGAACAAGACAAAGGCAGAGGCCUAUUACUGGAUAUUACAGAGAACUUCUGAUGUUAUCCUCAAAUGCGGACUCACCUGCAGCUUCAUUCACAUCACUGCUGGAGCACAUGGUCCUCAGUGCAGAAUUAAUGCUGCGGUCAUGGGGCACUACUUCAGGAAAGCCAUCUUGGUUUGAGGAAUUCCACCUAUUUCCUCCAUUAGAACGUACCAGAAAAGUUCAGGAAGACAGGAGUUUAUGGGG